This 110-nucleotide microRNA precursor is filed under the name Patiria miniata (bat star). RNAcentral describes it as "microRNA pmi-mir-184 precursor". Its record names the gene pmi-mir-184. The stretch from base 17 to 101 matches the Rfam family "mir-184 microRNA precursor family". Lineage: Eukaryota; Metazoa; Echinodermata; Asteroidea; Valvatida; Asterinidae. The record is from miRBase by way of RNAcentral.
GCCUAGCGGCCAUAUUGUUUCCUUUACUCCUUAUCGUUCCCGCGCCCAGCUGCCAUGUUUGAAUAAUGCUGGACGGAGAACUGAUAAGGGCUUAUGGGAACACCUUGCAC